RNAcentral lists this ribosomal RNA (253 nucleotides) under uncultured bacterium. RNAcentral's name for it is "partial 16S ribosomal RNA". It matches the Rfam family "Bacterial small subunit ribosomal RNA", at positions 524 to 776 of the family's 1533-position model. The record is from RNAcentral.
UACGUAGGGGGCAAGCGUUAUCCGGAUUUACUGGGUGUAAAGGGAGCGUAGACGGCAUGGCAAGUCAGAUGUGAAAGCCCGGGGCUCAACCCCGGGACUGCAUUUGAAACUGUCAGGCUGGAGUGCAGGAGAGGUAAGCGGAAUUCCUAGUGUAGCGGUGAAAUGCGUAGAUAUUAGGAGGAACACCAGUGGCGAAGGCGGCUUACUGGACUGUAACUGACGUUGAGGCUCGAAAGCGUGGGGAGCAGACAGG